GCGGGCUUAUAGGUCCAGAAGAUGAAUGCGAUAGUCUCUACUGGCCUUUAUAGUCCCACU
This 60-nucleotide microRNA precursor is filed under the name Eisenia fetida (common brandling worm). RNAcentral's name for it is "Efe-Mir-193-P1n_pre stem-loop". Lineage: Eukaryota; Metazoa; Annelida; Clitellata; Crassiclitellata; Lumbricidae. The record is from RNAcentral.